This 904-nucleotide long non-coding RNA is filed under the name Scleropages formosus (Asian bonytongue). RNAcentral's name for it is "lncRNA (ENSSFOG00015032029.1)". Lineage: Eukaryota; Metazoa; Chordata; Actinopteri; Osteoglossiformes; Osteoglossidae. The record is from RNAcentral.
UUGCCACAUUCAACCUCUCCCUCGACCUUCUAAGGCCCAGUUCCUCUCUUGUGGGCUCAAUUCACCUACAGUUUUCUAGAAGAUAACUUCUUCCAUAAAUGGCUUCUCUUAAAGUGAUGAAAGAUGACAGAAGUGGAGGUGAGGGGCACACACAUGGCAGGUUGCUGAGUGGACAAUGUGAGGUGAAGUGAGGGCGACAAGUGCUGGAGGGGCAGGGGUUUGCUGGGCAUGACCCGCCAGCACCUGGUAAUUAAAAUUGCUAAUGAGAAGCAAUUACGCUGCCAGGCUUCCUCUGGCUGGCUGCGCAGUUUGACCCUUCCACGGGAAGAAAGAAGAAGAAGAAGAAGAAGAAGAAGAGAAAAUGCCGGCUAUCUCGCGACCAAGGCAGCGCUGAGGAGACCCCGCCCUCCGCGGCACGCGGGUGAGUGGGCGCCCGCCUUCCGUUCUGAAGAGCGGUUGCGAGAGGAAGUUCACAAAGCUGGGAACAUCUGCUGGUGGGCGCUGCGGUGUGCCAAGCCCGGCGGGACAGGUGCGGGGACGCCCUUGGGACGCAGACCGCCACGGCAAGGAAAUACGAAGGAAAGGACUUAAGGACCGAGGUGUGAAGUUCAGCAGGAGCAACCUGCCGGCCGGAGACGUGGGCCUUGUGUCACCAGCAGACCGGGGACUGGAAGGGCGGAAGCCUCAGAAACCCAGAAGGUGCUCUAGUGCGAAGCUCAUAUGCAGUUAUGAGAAAUGGCGAUGUGAUGCAUUAUGAGGAAAAAUGGUCCAUUAGUUGAGGAUAGAAAGUGUUCCAAACUGAUUUGGGCCCAGAUAUAACUCGCCGUGCUGAACAGAAACUCUUGCUCGUUUUAGCCAGAUGGUGUUUUGCCAAUUCAAUGAAAUAAAUGCAUUAAUUACAGCA